RNAcentral lists this transfer RNA (90 nucleotides) under Octadecabacter arcticus 238. RNAcentral's name for it is "tRNA-Leu". It matches the Rfam family "tRNA". From Rfam's summary of the family: Transfer RNA (tRNA) molecules are approximately 80 nucleotides in length. Their secondary structure includes four short double-helical elements and three loops (D, anti-codon, and T loops). Further hydrogen bonds mediate the characteristic L-shaped molecular structure. tRNAs have two regions of fundamental functional importance: the anti-codon, which is responsible for specific mRNA codon recognition, and the 3' end, to which the tRNAs corresponding amino acid is attached (by aminoacyl-tRNA synthetases). tRNAs cope with the degeneracy of the genetic code in two manners: having more than one tRNA (with a specific anti-codon) for a particular amino acid; and 'wobble' base-pairing, i.e. permitting non-standard base-pairing at the 3rd anti-codon position. The record is from RNAcentral. Lineage: Bacteria; Pseudomonadati; Pseudomonadota; Alphaproteobacteria; Rhodobacterales; Roseobacteraceae.
GGUCGUGGCGGAAUUGGUAGACGCGCAGCGUUGAGGUCGCUGUGAAGUAACAUUCGUGGGGGUUCGAGUCCCCCCGACCGCACCACUUUC